GACGAACGCUGGCGGCGUGCUUAACACAUGCAAGUCGAACGGAAAGGCCCUGCUUUUGUGGGGUGCUCGAGUGGCGAACGGGUGAGUAACACGUGAGUAACCUGCCCUUGACUUUGGGAUAACUUCAGGAAACUGGGGCUAAUACCGGAUAGGAGCUCCUGCUGCAUGGUGGGGGUUGGAAAGUUUCGGCGGUUGGGGAUGGACUCGCGGCUUAUCAGCUUGUUGGUGGGGUAGUGGCUUACCAAGGCUUUGACGGGUAGCCGGCCUGAGAGGGUGACCGGCCACAUUGGGCCUGGGAUACGGCCCAGACCCCUCCGGGGGGCAGCGGGGGGAAUUUUUGCACAAUGGGCGGAAGCCUGAUGCAGAAACCCCGCGUGCGGGAUGACGGCCUUCGGGUUGUAAACCGCUUUCGCCUGUGACGAAGCGUGAGUGACGGUAAUGGGAAAAGAAGCCCCGGCUACCUACGU
RNAcentral lists this ribosomal RNA (467 nucleotides) under uncultured bacterium. RNAcentral's name for it is "partial 16S ribosomal RNA". It matches the Rfam family "Bacterial small subunit ribosomal RNA", at positions 28 to 506 of the family's 1533-position model. The record is from RNAcentral.